UACGGGGGGGGCAAGCGUUGUUCGGAAUUACUGGGCGUAAAGGGUUCGUAGGUGGCUUGUUAAGUCAGACGUGAAAUCCCUCGGCUCAACCGGGGAACUGCGUCUGAGACUGAUGAGCUCGAGUGCAGGAGAGGAACGCGGAAUUCCAGGUGUAGCGGUGAAAUGCGUAGAUAUCUGGAGGAACACCGGUGGCGAAGGCGGCGAUCUGGGUCGAUACUGACGCUGAGGUGCGAAAGCGUGGGGAGCAAACAGG
Molecule: ribosomal RNA, 253 nt
Filed under: uncultured bacterium
Lineage: Bacteria
Description: partial 16S ribosomal RNA
Rfam family: Bacterial small subunit ribosomal RNA
Source: RNAcentral